Molecule: non-coding RNA, 778 nt
Filed under: Pongo abelii (Sumatran orangutan)
Lineage: Eukaryota; Metazoa; Chordata; Mammalia; Primates; Hominidae
Source: RNAcentral
CUUAAAGGUUAAUAAACUCUGCUGACAACCUGCCUAUCCAUGACAAACCCUGAGUCUUUUCAUGGGUGAUUCAGUGGAAAUAUUCUCCGGUAGCCAGAGGCGUGGCUUGCCUGGGCCUCUGGGUGCAGCUGCACAGACUCAAGCAGCCUGAAGGAAAGGUGACUGACAGUUAAUGAUCUGAAAAGAACUUGUCUCAACUCAACGUCAUUCCUGGCAUUAUCGAACAAAGCAAUAAACCUCACAGAAUGGAAGCUACAGUGUCCAGGGCCAGCUCUGCUAAGGUAACCAAAGACAGAGAAGGAGGCAAAAGUGACAGAAGAAACUCAUGGGAAACCAACAGAAAUAUAAUGGCUUUGGCAGAAAUGCAAUUAUCAAUUGGGAGCUUGUGAUGAAUGUUUUCUCAGUAUCCUAUGCUGAAAACAGGUAGAUACUAAUCCCUCCUUCAAGGGAGGGCUGUUGAGUAUUGAAUAAGAUAAAAACAUGGAAGCAAUCAGCACAAUGCUGAACAACAGAAGUUUCAACAUUCUGCCAACACAGUAACUCCUGGGAGAUUGGCACAGAAGAAGGCACAAGGAGAGCUUUUAUAUAACCAAAGAUAUUUUUGGACCAUGAAUUCGGAAAUUCUCGGAGCCACCCAUCAAUGCCUGAGCUUCAGUGAGUCCAUAUCCCAUGUCACCUACGGCAAAGGAGAAUCUGAGACUUCUGAAGAGUUUCUUGCUUCUUUCCUGUGGGGCAGUGACUCCACUUCCCAGCAGUAAUGGAAUAUCCUGAAUUAGCU